Molecule: long non-coding RNA, 716 nt
Organism: Telopea speciosissima
Lineage: Eukaryota; Viridiplantae; Streptophyta; Magnoliopsida; Proteales; Proteaceae
Exons: 3
Source: RefSeq, a predicted model, not a curated record
AUCUGCCAUUUAUUGAUUUGCUUUAUUGAUUGGUUAUUGUCUUAUAGAAAAUGCUAAAGUUAAUGGGCAAUCGUCUAUCUCUUGUGAAUUAGAGGUAUCACCUCGUUUAGUCAUAUCCUUUGUCCAACUCCUUGAUCAGUUCUGUUCUAGGACAAAUUAUUUGUAAACGUGAGUUUCCGAUGCAUUAUGUUGACCUUUCAAUUUAGUUCUCUCCUCAAGAGUUUAGGCGGAGAAAUGAAAUUUCAUCUUGUAUUGUACCGUGCUUGUUUGCAGAAUUUUGUGAAAAUCUGGUUUGCAUGAUGUCCUCUCAAAGUGAAAAUAAGCCAUUCUAAGAUUAGCAUGAGGGUGGGCAAAUGACAGCACAAUCAAAGCCUGAUAGGAUCUAAAUUAGGUAUUGCAAAAUGCAAACCUAAAGGAUUACGGUUAGGAAUCCUCAAGUAAAACUGGAAUCGCAGGAAUGAGGAACAACCAGAUUUAAGAGAGAAUCAAUAAAUUAAUGAAAACAAAUCUGAUUAGGCCAAAACCUUGGUUGAGUGAUCUAUUUAUCAAGGGGGACUGUCCCUUAAAGUUUGAUUGAAAACUGAUAGCUAUUUUUCAAGUUAUGAAACAAUCCUACUGGAAAUAGGAAAGUUCAUGAACUGCAGAAUCGAUGGACAGUUUAGGGCACGCCCUAAAACAGAACUCAUUCAAUGUGUUAAGUAGGGGUUUGAGAAAUA